UAUCUUCUCCGCCUUUUUGGUUUUAACCCAGGUAUGUUUAUGUUCAGAGUGGGCUUUACUUUCAUGGCUGCCUUGGGGCUUCUGGUUUACAUGUUCCGUUGUUCACUGUGUACCUUCUGGAAAUAUUUUAUCAUUUCAUGUACAGGUGAAAGUCCAAGACCAGAGGACUUCCGCUUCCUUCUUCUGGCCUGUGUUGGCGCACCUCUCCCAGUGCCCGUGGGACUCGAACUCACAACUCCGAGAUCAAGAGUCAUGGGCUCCUCUGCCUGAGCCAGCCAGGUGCCCCAGUACUAUCAAUUUUACAUCUAGAAAGACCCCUCCAAGUCUGUCUACAGGUGUUUACUCUAAUGAGUUGUGGUAUACACAUAAAAUGGAAAACUGUAAUAUGUACAAAUAUACAAUGGCUUUCUUUGUGCUGGUUCCAGGGAUGCUCGUGGGGCACCUGGGGGUCAGUCAGGGGAGACUUCAACUCUUGGUUUCAGCUCAGGUCAUGAUCUCACAGUUGUGUUUUCAAGUUGUGCUUCGGGCUCUGUGCUCGGCAUGGAGCCUGCUUAGGGCUCUGUCUCUCCCUUUGCGUCUGCCUUUCCCUUGUGUGUACAUAUUCUCUCUCUCCAAAAAAAAGGGGGGGAGAUAUUGUUAAGUGGAAAACGCACACUGUAGAUAGGGUACAUAUUACAUGCCUUUUGAAUAGCAAUCAGGGUGGGGAAUACACAUCUAUAUCAUGCUUAUAUAUAGGUGCAUAAAGAAACUGGACUGAUGCAUAAAGAAAUAAAAGAAAUGGGAGUUUCUGUGGGGGAAAUAAAUGAGAACUAGGCCCAUAGUAGCCAGGAAUGGAGAGAAUUUACUAACUGCCUGUUUAAUGCUUCUUGACUUUUGAACCACAUGAAUAUACUACAGAUUCUUAAUUAAUUCAAAGAUACAAACACUUUUGAAGAAUUUAGGAAGGGAAAAUAUUUAGUUACAAUAAGAAGAUCUUUAUACACAUUGAGUGUUACAACUCUGCAAAAUAUAUGUACACAUGUACAAAGAGUUAAAGAAAGGUAGAAAAAAUUAAAACAAUUUAUUUGCUAGGUUGAUAAAGUUUUUUAUAUUCUAGCUGCUGUAGUAAUAGUUGUAAAAAUGUACUGGAGAGUAGGAGCACCUGGCUUCGGCUCAGGUCAUGGUCUCACAGUACGUGAGUUCAAGCCUCCCAUCGGGCUCUGUGCUGACAGCUGGGAGCCUGGAGCCUGCUUCACAUUCUAUGUCUCCCUCUCUCUCUCUGCCCCUCCCCCACUUAACUCUGUGUCUCUCUCUCUCUCUCUCUCAAAAAUGAACAUAAAAAUAAAAAACGUUUUUUCAUGUAUUGUAAAGCAAGUAGAUUAAUGAAAACAAAAUAAAUGCAAAUACAUGGUUGGCAGGUGAUUUUUCUUCCUGAUCUUCUUACAAUUACCGGUGAAUGGCGUUCUUCUCCUCUUUUUGGUUUUAGUUUCCAUAACGCCUCCCCCUUCAUCCUUUCAGGAGACUCUGCAUAGACUCUGCAUCCAAGCAGGGCAGAGCAGCCGGUCCCGGGGAAGGGAAGCACAAGCGGAAGAAGCGGUCACAGCUGCGGGACAGCCUUCCGUCCCCACUUCCGAGGGGACGUCUGGGACACACAGCCCUGGGGCCCUUGGCUCACCUCCGCUCCGUGGGCCCCCAGUCUGUCGUUCCCGGCUCCUUCCCUGGUCCCCCGCCCUGCCCCGUGUGGGAGGAGGACAUGC
Suricata suricatta (meerkat) is the source of this 1736-nucleotide long non-coding RNA. Lineage: Eukaryota; Metazoa; Chordata; Mammalia; Carnivora; Herpestidae. The record is from Ensembl.